RNAcentral lists this ribosomal RNA (208 nucleotides) under uncultured Desulfovibrio sp. Its description in RNAcentral is "partial 16S ribosomal RNA". It matches the Rfam family "Bacterial small subunit ribosomal RNA", at positions 1175 to 1382 of the family's 1533-position model. Lineage: Bacteria; Pseudomonadati; Thermodesulfobacteriota; Desulfovibrionia; Desulfovibrionales; Desulfovibrionaceae. The record is from RNAcentral.
GGGAGUGACGUCAAGUCCUCAUGGCCUUUAUGUCUAGGGCUACACACGUACUACAAUGGCCGGUACAAAGGGCAGCCACUCAGCGAUGAGGCGCUAAUCCCAUAAAGCCGGUCUCAGUCCGGAUCGCAGUCUGCAACUCGACUGCGUGAAGUUGGAAUCGCUAGUAAUCGUAGAUCAGCAUGCUACGGUGAAUACGUUCCCGGGCCUU